GGGUGAGUAACACGUGGAUAACCUACCUAUAAGACUGGGAUGACUUCGGGAAACCGGAGCUAAUACCGGAUAAUAUAUUGAACCGCAUGGUUCAAUAGUGAAAGACGGUUUUGCUGUCACUUAUAGAUGGAUCCGCGCCGCAUUAGCUAGUUGGUAAGGUAACGGCUUACCAAGGCAACGAUGCGUAGCCGACCUGAGAGGGUGAUCGGCCACACUGGAACUGAGACACGGUCCAG
RNAcentral lists this ribosomal RNA (236 nucleotides) under uncultured Staphylococcus sp. RNAcentral's name for it is "partial 16S ribosomal RNA". It matches the Rfam family "Bacterial small subunit ribosomal RNA", at positions 104 to 334 of the family's 1533-position model. Lineage: Bacteria; Bacillati; Bacillota; Bacilli; Caryophanales; Staphylococcaceae. The record is from RNAcentral.